RNAcentral lists this long non-coding RNA (143 nucleotides) under Strigops habroptila (Kakapo). Its description in RNAcentral is "lncRNA (ENSSHBG00005017295.1)". The record is from RNAcentral. Lineage: Eukaryota; Metazoa; Chordata; Aves; Psittaciformes; Psittacidae.
AUCUCUCUGCCGGCCUCAUCGGAGAGAGUUGCAGUUCCUUCUGGGCCUGUGUGGACUAGGGGCAUAACGGGGCGCCUGACUGGCAGGAGGGGAAAGCGGAGACUCCUUCAGGUUUCCGAAGAGGUCCGAACGGACAGCAUUAG